AUGCAAGUCGUACGAGAGUUUUUAACUCUAGUGGCGGACGGGUGAGUAACACGUGAGAAUUUACCUUUAGGAGGGGGAUAACAGCGUAUCAAUAGAUAUUACGGAAACGGCUGCUAAUACCCCAUAUGCUUUUGAGUGAAAUAGAUUUAUCUGCCUAAAGAGAAGCUCGCGGCUGAUUAGCUUGUUGGUAAGGUAAUGGCUUACCAAGGCGACGAUCAGUAUCUGGUUUGAGAGGACGAUCAGACACACUGGAACUGAGACACGGUCCAGACUCCUACGGGAGGCAGCAGUGGGGAAUUUUCCGCAAUGGGCGAAAGCCUGACGGAGCAAUACCGCGUGAGGGAAGACGGCCUAUGGGUUGUAAACCUCUUUUUUUCAGGGAGGAAUUCAAUGACGUGUACCUGAGGAAUAAGCAUCGGCUAACUCCGUGCCAGCAGCCGCGGUAAUACG
Molecule: ribosomal RNA, 450 nt
Filed under: uncultured bacterium
Lineage: Bacteria
Description: bacterial SSU rRNA
Rfam family: Bacterial small subunit ribosomal RNA
Source: RNAcentral